Molecule: small RNA, 362 nt
Filed under: Pan troglodytes (chimpanzee)
Lineage: Eukaryota; Metazoa; Chordata; Mammalia; Primates; Hominidae
Description: processed transcript
Source: RNAcentral
CAAAGCGGACACGAAGAAACGCCACACCCCCAGAGGUAAUGCUGAAAGUACGUCUAAUAGACAGCUACUGUGGUUGAGAGGAAAGGUGUCUUUUUAUUGCUUCUAGAGACGUUGAAAGUGUGACCUGAGCACCUCAUAAUCAUGUGAAAAAGCCACUCAAAAACUACCAUUUGAAUGGAUGGAUGCAAAUAACCUCCGUGUAUUCUACGAAGAUGUUUAAUAAUAAAUAGGUUUCGUUAUAAGAGAAUGUGUGUCACUUCGUCUCUUCCCUCACCCCCGAGACUUAGUGACAGUUAUUUUUGACUUUUCCAAAUAUACUAUUUGCCUAGAAAAUGUGUCUAUUAAAUAGCGUAUUGAGAAAU